AUUGAACGCCGGCGGCAGGCCUAACACAUGCAAGCCGAACGGUAGCACAGAGAGCUUGCUCUCGGGUGACGAGUGGCGGACGGGUGAGUAACGUCUGGGAAACUGCCCGAUGGAGGGGAUAACUACUGGAAACGGUAGCUAAUACCGCAUAACGUCGCAAGACCAAAGUGGGGGACCUUCGGGCCUCACACCAUCGGAUGUGCCCAGAUGGGAUUAGCUAGUAGGUGGGGUAAUGGCUCACCUAGGCGACGAUCCCUAGCUGGUCUGAGAGGAUGACCAGCCACACUGGAACUGAGACACGGUCCAGACUCCUACGGGAGGCAGCAGUGGGGAAUAUUGCACAAUGGGCGCAAGCCUGAUGCAGCCAUGCCGCGUGUAUGAAGAAGGCCUUCGGGUUGUAAAGUACUUUCAGCGGGGAGGAAGGCGGUGAAGUUAAUAGCUUCACCGAUUGACGUUACCCGCAGAAGAAGCACCGGCUAACUCCGUGCCAGCAGCCGCCGUAA
This 503-nucleotide ribosomal RNA is filed under the name uncultured bacterium. RNAcentral describes it as "partial 16S ribosomal RNA". It matches the Rfam family "Bacterial small subunit ribosomal RNA", at positions 29 to 523 of the family's 1533-position model. The record is from RNAcentral.